CUUUCUUUGCUGGCGACCGGCGCACGGGUGAGUAACACGUAUCCAACCUGCCCUUUACUCGGGGAUAGCCUUUCGAAAGAAAGAUUAAUACCCGAUAGCAUAAUGAUUCCGCAUGGUUUCAUUAUUAAAGGAUCCGGUAAAGGAUGGGGAUGCGUUCCAUUAGGUUGUUGGUGAGGUAACGGCUCACCAAGCCUUCGAUGGAUAGGGGUUCUGAGAGGAAGGUCCCCCACAUUGGGACUGAGAUACGGCCCAGACUCCUACGGGAGGCAGCAUG
RNAcentral lists this ribosomal RNA (274 nucleotides) under uncultured bacterium. RNAcentral's name for it is "partial 16S ribosomal RNA". It matches the Rfam family "Bacterial small subunit ribosomal RNA", at positions 79 to 353 of the family's 1533-position model. The record is from RNAcentral.